Molecule: long non-coding RNA, 225 nt
Filed under: Lathyrus oleraceus (garden pea)
Lineage: Eukaryota; Viridiplantae; Streptophyta; Magnoliopsida; Fabales; Fabaceae
Description: Pisum sativum (pea) long non-coding RNA (PSAT_LNC017174)
Source: RNAcentral
AAAAGCUCGCUAAGGGCGACUUAUGCAAAAAAUGAGCAUCUCGGUGAGUUGGAAACCCGAAAGGGCGACUCAGGAAAAAUUAGGGACAAACAAAAAAAUUAAGCCCGAUAAGUCGAAAACCCGAAAGGGCGGCUUAAGCAAAAAAGGGUAAAAUCUUCCGCUGAACUGAAACUCUUAAGGAGCAGUUCGUGGUAAAGUUAGAGAAUAUUCAAAGGCAUAAUACUG